Hippoglossus stenolepis (Pacific halibut) is the source of this 195-nucleotide small nuclear RNA. RefSeq annotates it as U2 spliceosomal RNA. NCBI's taxonomy places the organism in Eukaryota, Metazoa, Chordata, Actinopteri, Pleuronectiformes, Pleuronectidae. The record is from RefSeq and is a predicted model, not a curated record. The transcript has a single exon.
AUCGCUUCUCCGCCUUUUGGCUAAGAUCAAGUGUAGUAUCUGUUCUUAUCGUUUAUCUCAAAUAUGUCCUCUAUAUAGAGGACUACAUAUACUUUGGUCACAUUUUCACGCCUGAGGCAAUGAGCUACAGGCUUACUCCUUUCUCUCAACGCAUCGACCUAGCAUUACAGUGCCGCUGGGAGCAGUGCACUCUGU